This 57-nucleotide small nuclear RNA is filed under the name Symbiodinium microadriaticum. Lineage: Eukaryota; Dinophyceae; Suessiales; Symbiodiniaceae. The record is from RNAcentral.
CUGCAUGGCCCCUGCGCAAGGAUGACACGCACAAAUCGAGAAGUGUACCAAGUUUUU